AUUGAACGCUGGCGGCAGGCCUAACACAUGCAAGUCGAGCGAGCGGCGGACGGGUGAGUAAUGUAUGGGGACUGCCCGAUAGAGGGGGAUAACUACUGGAAACGGUGGCUAAUACCGCAUACUAUCGGAUAACCCAUAUGGGAUUAGCUAGUAGGGGGGGUAAAGGCUCACCUAGGCGACGAUCUCUAGCUGGUAUGCGAGGAGGAUCAGCCACCCUGGGACAUAGCACCGGCCCAGACUCCUCCGGAUGCAGCAGUGGGGCAUAUUGCACAAUGGGCGCCAGCCUGAUGCAGCCCUGCCGCUUUUAUGAAGAAGGCCUUAGGGGUGUAAAGUACUUUCAGCGGGGAGGCGUUACCCGCAGAAGAAGCACCGGCUAACUCCGUGCCAGCAGCCGCGGUAAUAC
RNAcentral lists this ribosomal RNA (403 nucleotides) under uncultured bacterium. RNAcentral's name for it is "partial 16S ribosomal RNA". It matches the Rfam family "Bacterial small subunit ribosomal RNA", at positions 30 to 526 of the family's 1533-position model. The record is from RNAcentral.